CAUGAAACUUAUAGCAGAAAUUAUUGCUGAAGAAAUGUUACAAAAUACUGUGUACUAUUUAAAACAUUAUUCACACUUUAAAUUUAGCCUUUCAGUUAGAACCUCCUUCUUCCAGUAAUCCACCAAAGUGAUGAACACAAAGGUAAAGAGGAGGAGAAGCACCCAAUAUAUGUUCUCUAGGCUUUUUAGAAAAUAUGGAGGUGCUCCUUUGGCCAUAUACAUGUGAACCUGUAAGAAUGGUGAUACUGCAGACAUCAAAGAAUGCAUACUGUUCAAAAAGGAAUGCCCCACAAAUGUUACCAGGGAAAAACUGGAAUAUUCUACAAUGUACCCAGCAUGCUGUUGGCAUUGUUAUAAAUAAACAAGUUAAGAACAAGAUUCUUGCCAAGAUAAUUAACGUGCAUGUUGAGCAUAUUAAGUGCUCUGACAACCGAGAUAACUUUUUGAAAUGCAGGAAGGAAAAUGAUCAGAAAAAGAAGGAAGCAAAAGAGAAAGGUAUGUGAGUUCAACUGAAGUGCCAGCCUGCUCUACCCAAAGAAGUAUACUUUCUGAGACCUAGUGCAAAGCCUGAGCUGCUGGAACCUAUUUCCUGUGAAUUCAUGGCAUAAUAGGUGUAAAAAAAAAUAGAAGACCUUUUGACUAUAAACAAACAAACUGAAAAAUAUAUAUGUCUAGACAAAACACUUUAAAAGCCCUUUACAAGGGAAUAUCCAAAUGGGAAAUAAACGUAAGAAAAGGUGAUCAACUUUAUUAUUUAUCAGGUAAGUGCAAAUUCAAAUCACAUUACAAUUCUGCUGCAUAUUCACAAUUGCUAAAAUGAAAAAAUGAGAAAAGGAAAAAAGGUAGACAUAUGGAGCAACUAAAAAUCCACACACUGCUGGUUGUACAGUAAUUUAUUCUAUCAUUUGGCAGCGUUUACUAGAGGAGAGCAUAUCCAUAACCAGCCAUUUAACUUCUAAGUAUAUUCCUAACAGAAAUGCACAUACAUGUUCAAAUGACAUGCACAGGAAUAUAAGUAAUAGUCUUAGUCAUAAUGGUAGAAUAUUGGCAACUACCAUAGGUAAAAUAUAGGAAUAAAUUUUCAACUCUUUAUCAACUAGAAUACUGUAGAACAAUGAAAGUGAAUGAACUACAACUACAAGCAACAUUAUGAAUGUAUCUCACAACAUAUGGUUGAAUCAAUAAAAUCCAAUCUUUAUUUGUAUGCUUCUCAGGAUAAAAUGUUUUUGAAAAUCUAAUAUAAUAUAUGGCAUUAAAAGGAGAAUGGAGGUUACCCUUCAGGCACAAUGAAUAAAAGGGUGCAUUAAAGGGACUUCUGGAGUGCUGUCAAUGUUCUGCUUUUUGAUCUAGGUGCUGGUUGCAUGGGGGAAUUUAAAUUGUAAAAAGUCAUCAAACCAUACACGUAUGAUUUCUCAACUUUUCUAUAUAUUAUACCUCAAAAAUUCAAAAAUGAAUGAAAAUUUUCUUAUAAUUAAACUAUGGAAAUAUAAAUGCAGUGAACUUAUUGGAACACUUCUUUUUUAUACAUACUGAUUAACAAAAAGAAUUUUCUAUGUUUUUAAUUAUCAUUUUGCAAAAAAUCAAGUGAAGAUUAUUUUGUCUUCUCUUUGCUUUCCAGAUUCUUAAGCAUUUCAAUUAAACAUCAUUGGGCAGGGGGUAUAUGGGCAAGGAGUAUGUGAGGUUGCAUUUGGCACAAAGAAAAUCUUAAUAAAUUAUAAAUAUUCAAUGUUUUAAUUUAGACCACGUUUUACAACCAUAAUAAAGUUAGAAAUUAAAAGUUCCAAUGAGUCAAAUGUAAGAGUACACAAAAAUUUAUAAAACUUAUUCAAAACAAAUAAAAUAAACAUUAAAUUACUAACAUUUAAGAAAAUUAAAUCAAUGAAAAAAAUGUGUACAAGAAAAAGAAGAUCAAUAAUGUCUCAGACCUAAAAAUCUAGAAAUCAGCCUUUGGCUCCCCCUUUCUGUCACACCUACAUACCUAGUCUAGCAACAAUUUUGCUAGACCAGGGUUUCUCAAGCGCAACACCAUUGAAAUUUUGGGCUGGAUGAUUCUUUGUAUUAGGAGUUGUCUUGUGCUUUGUAGAAUGGCUAACAUCAUUCCUGGCAUCUACCAUCUAGAUGCCAGUUGUACCACCUCCAUCCCUGGUUGUGACAAUCAAAAAGGUCUCCAUAUAUUGCCAGAUGUUCUCUAGGCACAAAAUAAACCAAUUUGAAAUGAUGGCAUUAGACCCUACCUCUUUAUUUUGAAUCCUUCCAUUUCUUUUCCAUUCCACUCCUAACUCCCUGUUCAAAGUCAGUGUCUUCUCUUGUAUGAACUAUUAAAGCAAUUUCUCUUUGUUUUCAAUCAUGGUUCUUUAUGAUUCAUUCUUCACACAGCAGCCAUAUAAAUAUAUUUUGUCACUUUUCAAUGGCUUCACUGGGGACUUAAAAUAAAUAUUAAACUUUUCACCUAUGGCUACGAGGCCUGAAUUACUUGGCAUCUCUUCAUCUUUCUGGACUUAUGUUCUGCCUUUCUUACCCAAUCUCAUGACAUUUUCGACAUCUGGAAUUUCUUCACUUUUUCUAUGUUAACUUAGCUCAUUUUCAUCUUUGGCUCUUUUGCAGGUCUCUGCCUGGAAUGCUCUUCUGGAAUGUUGCAUCACUCACCUUUCAGUUCAAAAUUAAACAUUGUCUUCUCAAAUAGUCUUUCUCUGAUCACAAGCUCUAAAUCAGUCACAUUUUAAAUUUCUUCAAACUCAAAGCAUUUUAAUUAUCUUCAUAGUAGUUAUUAUAUUUUCUUUAUUAUUAUUUGCUAUCCCUCAAAUAAAAAAAUAAAAAGGUCAGACUCAUGAAGAUCAGAGAGAUCUGACCAAUAAGAAAGGUUACUAGAAAUUCAAUGGAUGCAGGCAAUCGCAUGAUCAAGGAAGAGCAUGUCUAAAACAGUCUAAAACCAUCAGCAUAUCUCAUAUGUCUUCUUUCAUUGGGGACAUUGGAUUGAGAUUUAACAUACGAGGUUUAAAGCAAUGCAUGUGAAGCAUCAUUUAUACAAAAGUAACUGUAUUGGUCAUAAAACAUAUCCAUUUUAUACCCAAUAAUUACAUGAGAUGUAAUAUUUUCCAGCAUACUUUGCUCCAUAAUUCCAUCAAUUCCAAAUUUAUAUUUUAUAAGCAACUAGAGCAGGUCCUGAGAAAAGCAUUCCACAGAUAAAGACUCUAUUUCCUUCUGGUAAAUACCAUCAGAGGGUCUGAUAACAUGUUGUCAAGAUGACUUGACCUGAACAUUUUUCUUUUUCUGACUGCAUGUAUGUCCUCAUGGGAAUGGUGAUAAGCUGUAGGCCAGCUACUAACCCUUUUCUUCCUACUCCAAAUACACUCCCCAUCUCCCAACACAAACCCACUUUUUCAGAGCAAGUACUUUCAGAGACGUCACUUCUGUAUCUCCUGUACCUAAAACUACACCUAGCACUUAGUAGCUUAUGAAGUUUAUAAAUAAAUAAACAAAAAGUUACAAGAAAAUCUAAUGCUCAUUGAUGAUGCAAGAUAAAAUUUCAUUUAAUUAUAAUAUAAUACUAGAAUUAUUCAGAAAUAAAAUAGCAAUAAAGAGAUCUUAACAUGCCUCUAUCAAAAUUAAAAACAUAAAUAUAAAUUAUUGGCAUAUAAGAAUAAAAUAUGAUUAGUAAGACUGUUCUAGCAUAAACAUGCUCUCUCACAUACAGAAACAGACACGUAUGUCAAACCACUUGUGUGCUGGAGCCAGCUCAUAGCUUGUAAGAGCCAACUGUUUUAUUAAUUUUGUGUCAGUUGUUAAAUACAGUUGUUACUAUGAAAAUUAUAAAACAUAAAACUAAAUAAAUAAUUUAAAAAAUAAAAGUAAUAAAAAUGGAAAAACAUCACUUUCUAAUUAGUUUACUGCAUUGUACUAUUAUCUAUGCCUUCAAGUUUAUGUUUAUUGUAUCUUUGGGGUGGAAUUACUAGAUAAUUGUGUAUUACUACUCAUUUCUUUCUAACUCCACAUUUAAUUACAUUACUUUGGGAGUGUAAGAUUGGCCACAGUAAGAGUAUUUAUGCCAUAAAUAUUUUAAAAAUGCUACAAAUUAGGCUUUUUCAUUUUGUGAUGAGAGCUAGUUGUUAAAUAAACAUUUACCAGCACAUCAUUAUACCAAACUGUAUAAUAAUAUAAAGAGGAAAAAAUAGAGCAGGUGAACAGAAAAAUGGACCAAAAAAUAAAAAAAGGUUAGAAAAAAAAGAACUAUAAAAGGUUAAUGAAAUAGAGAUUGAUAAACUAAUGUCAAUUAACUUUUUUCUUAAUAACAGAAACUGUGUUGUUUGGGACAGUGAUGGCACCAGCUGGAUAUGAUUCUCAGGUUCCCUUGAAAUUAGGGAUGGCCUUAUGAUAGUUCUUGUCCAUCAGGCAUAAGCAGAAAUGUUGGCCAUUUGGGAAAAGCUUCAGUUUUAUCAGAUAUACAUUCAUACUUUGAGGCGGCUGGCAAGAUGGCGGAAUAGAAACAGCUUCGGUCUGCAGCUCCCAGCGAGAUCAACCCAGAAGGCGGGUGAUUUCUGCAUUUCCAACUGAGGUACUUGCUUUGUUCUUGAGAGUUUGAAGCUUACAUUGUCUAAAAAGUUGGGAUUCAAAGUGACAGUUGAUCCUGACUCACACGUCAAAAUAAUUCAAGAGAUUUCCUUAAGCUCUAUCGUGCUUUAAAAUCAACAUGCCUGGGAAUGUAAAUUAGUAUCGUC
RNAcentral lists this long non-coding RNA (4715 nucleotides) under Homo sapiens (human). Its description in RNAcentral is "HSALNT0044549". Lineage: Eukaryota; Metazoa; Chordata; Mammalia; Primates; Hominidae. The record is from RNAcentral.